RNAcentral lists this ribosomal RNA (1294 nucleotides) under Conoideocrella tenuis. RNAcentral describes it as "partial large subunit ribosomal RNA". It matches the Rfam family "Eukaryotic large subunit ribosomal RNA", at positions 82 to 1407 of the family's 3401-position model. The record is from RNAcentral. Lineage: Eukaryota; Fungi; Ascomycota; Sordariomycetes; Hypocreales; Clavicipitaceae.
AGUACGGCGAGUGAAGCGGCAACAGCUCAAAUUUGAAAUCUGGCCCCUAGGGCCCGAGUUGUAAUUUGCAGAGGAUGCUUUUGGCGAGGUGCCUUCCGAGUUCCCUGGAACGGGACGCCAUAGAGGGUGAGAGCCCCGUCUGGUUGGAUACCGAGCCUCUGUAAAGCUCCUUCGACGAGUCGAGUAGUUUGGGAAUGCUGCUCUAAAUGGGAGGUAUAUGUCUUCUAAAGCUAAAUACCGGCCAGAGACCGAUAGCGCACAAGUAGAGUGAUCGAAAGAUGAAAAGCACUUUGAAAAGAGGGUUAAAUAGUACGUGAAAUUGUUGAAAGGGAAGCGCUUAUGACCAGACUUGGACCCGGUGAAUCAUCCAGCGUUCUCGCUGGUGCACUUUGCCGGGCUCAGGCCAGCAUCAGUUUGUCUCGGGGGAUAAAGGCUUAGGGAAGGUGGCUCCUCCGGGAGUGUUAUAGCCCUUUGCACAAUACCCUGGGGCGGACUGAGGUUCGCGCAUCUGCAAGGAUGCUGGCGUAAUGGUCAUCAGCGACCCGUCUUGAAACACGGACCAAGGAGUCGUCUUCGUAUGCGAGUGUUCGGGUGUAAAACCCCUACGCGUAAUGAAAGUGAACGCAGGGAAGAGCUUCGGCGCAUCAUCGACCGAUCCUGAUGUUCUCGGAUGGAUUUGAGUAAGAGCAUACGGGGCCGGACCCGAAAGAAGGUGAACUAUGCCUGUAUAGGGUGAAGCCAGAGGAAACUCUGGUGGAGGCUCGCAGCGGUUCUGACGUGCAAAUCGAUCGUCAAAUAUGGGCAUGGGGGCGAAAGACUAAUCGAACCUUCUAGUAGCUGGUUUCCGCCGAAGUUUCCCUCAGGAUAGCAGUGUUGAUCUCAGUUUAUGAGGUAAAGCGAAUGAUUAGGGACUCGGGGGCGCUAUAUAGCCUUCAUCCAUUCUCAAACUUUAAAUAUGUAAGAAGCUCUUGUUACUUAAUUGAACGUGGGCAUUCGAAUGUAUCAACACUAGUGGGCCAUUUUUGGUAAGCAGAACUGGCGAUGCGGGAUGAACCGAACGCGAGGUUAAGGUGCCAGAGUAGACGCUCAUCAGACACCACAAAAGGUGUUAGUACAUCUUGACAGCAGGACGGUGGCCAUGGAAGUCGGAAUCCGCUAAGGACUGUGUAACAACUCACCUGCCGAAUGUACUAGCCCUGAAAAUGGAUGGCCGCUCAAGCGUCUCACCCAUACCUCGCCCUCAGGGUAGAAACGAAGCCCUGAGGAGUAGGCGGACGUGGAGGUCAGUGACGAA